GGGGCACACCUGGAGCUGGAGCUUUUAUAAUGAUGUGUAUUAUGGACAUUAUAUCUUCUUUAAAUUUGAAAUUACCAGGAAACAUCCCGGGUUAAUAUUGGAUGUGGUGCGGGUGAUUUGUUCUUCAAGAAUUCUGAAUAGAGUUGGGACAUGCCAAGAGAAGAACUUAAAUAAAUGGGCCACUGAAAUAAUCAAGUUCUGUUUUUGAAUUUAUGUAUAAAUAUUUAACAUGGUUUAAUGAGGACAAUAAAGCCUUGUUUAUGUUUUUUCCCCUCUAUUAAGUUUUGUCAGUAGAAAUGAUGUGUGAAAA
This is a non-coding RNA of Lactuca sativa (garden lettuce), 310 nucleotides long. The record is from RefSeq and is a predicted model, not a curated record. Lineage: Eukaryota; Viridiplantae; Streptophyta; Magnoliopsida; Asterales; Asteraceae.